CACUAUUUUUAAUAUUGACUGCUUUGGUCCCCUAACAGUACGAAUCGGGCAAAUUCUAAUGUGAUCAUGCAAGUGCUUAGUUCCUUGCUUCGUGUCACCUCCAAUCUUUCUUUCGCAAUAUUUACAUAUUGCCUUCCACUUUCCAUCUAUUUUCUCCCUCCUAAAAUGUUUCCAAGCCUCAGAUGUUAAUCCUUUUUUGUUAGGACUGUUUUGCACUUCUUGGCUAACUUCUUGUCCUCCCUCUUGUGUUUCUUCUUGUCCUUCCUCUUGUGUUCCUUGAAUAUGUGCUUCAAUUGCUUGACCCUCAUCAUCUUGAGUUGGUUCUAUCUCAUUAUUAUUUUCAAUAGGAGUUGAGCUAAAGCUAUCCA
RNAcentral lists this long non-coding RNA (368 nucleotides) under Arachis ipaensis. Its description in RNAcentral is "long non-coding RNA (AIPA_LNC002559)". The record is from RNAcentral. Lineage: Eukaryota; Viridiplantae; Streptophyta; Magnoliopsida; Fabales; Fabaceae.